GCAGACUAAGGCCGCAACGUCCUGUUGCAACGUCUGC
Molecule: small RNA, 37 nt
Filed under: Oceanobacillus oncorhynchi
Lineage: Bacteria; Bacillati; Bacillota; Bacilli; Caryophanales; Bacillaceae
Description: Bacillaceae-1 RNA
Rfam family: Bacillaceae-1 RNA
Source: Rfam by way of RNAcentral